CCUACGGGAGGCAGCAGUGGGGAAUUUUGGACAAUGGGCGCAAGCCUGAUCCAGCAAUGCCGCGUGAGUGAAGAAGGCCUUCGGGUUGUAAAGCUCUUUUGUCAGGGAAGAAACGGUGAGGGCUAAUAUCCCUUGCUAAUGACGGUACCUGAAGAAUAAGCACCGGCUAACUACGUGCCAGCAGCCGCGGUAAUACGUAGGGUGCAAGCGUUAAUCGGAAUUACUGGGCGUAAAGCGUGCGCAGGCGGUUUUGUAAGUCUGUCGUGAAAUCCCCGGGCUCAACCUGGGAAUUGCGAUGGAGACUGCAAGGCUAGAAUCUGGCAGAGGGGGGUAGAAUUCCACGUGUAGCAGUGAAAUGCGUAGAGAUGUGGAGGAACACCGAUGGCGAAGGCAGCCCCCUGGGUCAAGAUUGACGCUCAUGCACGAAAGCGUGGGGAGCAAACAGGAUUAGAUACCCUGGUAGUCCACGCCCUAAACGAUGUCUACUAGUUGUCGGGUUUUAAUUAACUUGGUAACGCAGCUAACGCGUGAAGUAGACCGCCUUGGGGGAGGUACGGUCGGUCGAAGAAGUUAAACGUUAAAGUUAAGUUAAGUUAGACGGCGUUGAGACGUUGACCGACGGACGACGACGAGGGAGGAGG
RNAcentral lists this ribosomal RNA (641 nucleotides) under uncultured bacterium. Its description in RNAcentral is "bacterial SSU rRNA". The stretch from base 1 to 542 matches the Rfam family "Bacterial small subunit ribosomal RNA", at positions 338 to 873 of the family's 1533-position model. The record is from RNAcentral.